RNAcentral lists this ribosomal RNA (207 nucleotides) under uncultured bacterium. Its description in RNAcentral is "partial 16S ribosomal RNA". It matches the Rfam family "Bacterial small subunit ribosomal RNA", at positions 568 to 774 of the family's 1533-position model. The record is from RNAcentral.
GGUGUAGGCGGUGAGGUAAGUCGGGUGUGAAAUCCCUGGGCCCAACCCAGGAACUGCACUCGAAACUGCCCCACUAGAGUUCCGGAGAGGGUGGCGGAAUUCCCGGUGUAGAGGUGAAAUUCGUAGAUAUCGGGAGGAACACCAGUGGCGAAGGCGGCCACCUGGACGGUGACUGACGCUCAGACCCGAAAGCGUGGGGAGCAAACA